GAUGAACGCUGGCGGCGUGCUUAACACAUGCAAGUCGAACGGUGAAGGCGGAGCUUGCUCUGCUGGAUCAGUGGCGAACGGGUGAGUAACACGUGAGCAAUCUGCCCCUGACUCUGGGAUAAGCGCUGGAAACGGCGUCUAAUACUGGAUACGAGCUGCGAAGGCAUCUUCAGCAGCUGGAAAGAACUUCGGUCAGGGAUGAGCUCGCGGCCUAUCAGCUUGUUGGUGAGGUAACGGCUCACCAAGGCGUCGACGGGUAGCCGGCCUGAGAGGGUGACCGGCCCCACUGGGACUGAGACACGGCCCAGACUCCUACGGGAGGCAGCAGUGGGGAAUAUUGCACAAUGGGCGAAAGCCUGAUGCAGCAACGCCGCGUGAGGGACGACGGCCUUCGGGUUGUAAACCUCUUUUAGCAGGGAAGAAGCGAAAGUGACGGUACCUGCAGAAAAAGCGCCGGCUAACUACGUG
This 468-nucleotide ribosomal RNA is filed under the name uncultured bacterium. RNAcentral describes it as "partial 16S ribosomal RNA". It matches the Rfam family "Bacterial small subunit ribosomal RNA", at positions 28 to 507 of the family's 1533-position model. The record is from RNAcentral.